CCUACGGGGGGCUGCAGUGGGGAAUAUUGCGCAAUGGGCGAAAGCCUGACGCAGCCACGCCGCGUGAGCGAUGAAGGCCUUCGGGUCGUAAAGCUCUGUGGGGAGAGAAGAAUAAAGCCUGUGAAGAGCAGGCCUUGACGGUAUCUCCUUAGCAAGCACCGGCUAACUCCGUGCCAGCAGCCGCGGUAAUACGGAGGGUGCAAACGUUGCUCGGAAUCAUUGGGCGUAAAGGGCCCGUAGAGUGCCCGAUGAAAACCCUGGGCUCAACCCAGGAAGGGCAUCCAAAACUGGCGGGCUUGAAUCUCGGAGGGGGUCGGAGAAUUCCCGGUGUAGAGGUGAAAUUCGUAGAUAUCGGGAGGAAUACCAGUGGCGAAGGCGCCGACCUGGACGAAGAUUGACGCUGAGGUGCGAAAGCGUGGGGAGCAAACAGGAUUAGAUACCCCAGUAGUC
This 450-nucleotide ribosomal RNA is filed under the name uncultured bacterium. RNAcentral's name for it is "partial 16S ribosomal RNA". It matches the Rfam family "Bacterial small subunit ribosomal RNA", at positions 338 to 795 of the family's 1533-position model. The record is from RNAcentral.